GGGGACGAAACAGGCUCGACACGCAUGGUAAAGACCCGCCUUUUGCCCGGCAUUGUACCACCGUUAUCGGGCUAAAUCACAAGUGCCAAUGAUAACUCUGAGGUGCUCGCUGUCGCUGCAUAAGCGAUAAGCGCGGUUCGGGAGGGCACCGGGCAACAGAAGCCCUCCCA
This 170-nucleotide transfer-messenger RNA is filed under the name Komagataeibacter medellinensis NBRC 3288. RNAcentral's name for it is "transfer-messenger RNA Gluco_xylin_NBR328". It matches the Rfam family "Alphaproteobacteria transfer-messenger RNA", at positions 148 to 355 of the family's 355-position model. Rfam says of the family: Bacterial tmRNA, also known as 10Sa RNA or SsrA, is named for its dual tRNA and mRNA-like properties. Its role is to liberate the mRNA from a stalled ribosome. Lineage: Bacteria; Pseudomonadati; Pseudomonadota; Alphaproteobacteria; Acetobacterales; Acetobacteraceae. The record is from RNAcentral.